Molecule: non-coding RNA, 79 nt
Organism: Nicotiana attenuata
Lineage: Eukaryota; Viridiplantae; Streptophyta; Magnoliopsida; Solanales; Solanaceae
Source: Rfam
UAUGGCAUAUGAUGAUAUAACACAGUAAAUACUGAAUAAUUCUGUUGAUUAUUUACUCCGCUUAUUAUCUGAUGCCAUA